This 253-nucleotide ribosomal RNA is filed under the name uncultured bacterium. RNAcentral describes it as "partial 16S ribosomal RNA". It matches the Rfam family "Bacterial small subunit ribosomal RNA", at positions 524 to 776 of the family's 1533-position model. The record is from RNAcentral.
UACGGGGGGGGCAAGCGUUGUUCGGAAUUACUGGGCGUAAAGGGUUCGUAGGUGGCCAACUAAGUCAGACGUGAAAUCCCUCGGCUCAACCGGGGAACUGCGUCUGAUACUGCUUGGCUCGAGUCCGGGAGAGGUGAGUGGAAUUCCCAGUGUAGAGGUGAAAUUCGUAGAGAUUGGGAAGAACACCAGUGGCGAAGGCGGCUCACUGGCCCGCAACUGACGCUGAGGCGCGAAAGCGUGGGGAGCAAACAGG